GGAGAGGUGGCAGAGUGGUCGAUUGUGCAGCAUUGGAAAUGCUGUGUCCCUUCACGGGGACCGCGGGUUCGAAUCCCGCCCUCUCCGC
RNAcentral lists this transfer RNA (88 nucleotides) under Alienimonas chondri. RNAcentral's name for it is "tRNA-Ser". It matches the Rfam family "tRNA". From Rfam's summary of the family: Transfer RNA (tRNA) molecules are approximately 80 nucleotides in length. Their secondary structure includes four short double-helical elements and three loops (D, anti-codon, and T loops). The record is from RNAcentral. Lineage: Bacteria; Pseudomonadati; Planctomycetota; Planctomycetia; Planctomycetales; Planctomycetaceae.